This is a long non-coding RNA of Rattus norvegicus (Norway rat), 615 nucleotides long. RefSeq lists it as uncharacterized. The record is from RefSeq and is a predicted model, not a curated record. NCBI's taxonomy places the organism in Eukaryota, Metazoa, Chordata, Mammalia, Rodentia, Muridae.
GGCAUUCGGGGCUGGCAGAGUAAACCAAAUGCUUCUAGGAUGUUGCUUUUUCAAGCUUUUACCUGAACACCAGUUUCUUAUAUAUUUGCUGUCUCAAGUGCAAUCUCAUUUUGCAAGAGCAUGAACCAGCUAGUAAGGCGACGAAUCCUUUGUCUGAAGUUUCCACACCUCACAAAUCAUCAUCCAUAAAGCGCCCAUCCUCACACAGGUCCUAUCUUUGAGAUGGAGAAAACGAACCUCGGAGCGACCUCGUACUCAAUGCAGUGCACACACUGGCAUUUAGCAAAGGCCCCCUCCAGCCAGGGCCCCGCGUAUACUCGCUUCCAACCUCAGGAGCCCGGCGACCGCAGAGGCCGGGCCAGCGCCCGCUCCCGGCCGCGCCAUGCCCUCCUUCACCCUCACCCGCCGCCGGGUGCCUCUCACCUGGCAUGAUGGCAUUGCCCGCCCAGAGUCGCACGCGAAACCAUGGAUCCGGACGGGUUUCCGAGGCCGUCCGUCUGCCCUGAGGAAGGAUAGAGCGGAUGCGCGCGCGCGCACCGGAAUCCAGAGCACCGAUACCGGGAACACGCCGCCUGGUUUCUAAGGAACAGGGGUCUCUGGUACGGAGGGGCGGGG